RNAcentral lists this ribosomal RNA (460 nucleotides) under uncultured bacterium. Its description in RNAcentral is "partial 16S ribosomal RNA". It matches the Rfam family "Bacterial small subunit ribosomal RNA", at positions 338 to 795 of the family's 1533-position model. The record is from RNAcentral.
CCUACGGGUGGCUGCAGUGAGGAAUAUUGGUCAAUGGACGCGAGUCUGAACCAGCCAAGUAGCGUGAAGGAUGACUGCCCUAUGGGUUGUAAACUUCUUUUAUAUGGGAAUAAAACGUUCCACGUGUGGGAUUUUGUAUGUACCAUAUGAAUAAGGAUCGGCUAACUCCGUGCCAGCAGCCGCGGUAAUACGGGGGAGCCGAGCGUUAUCCGGAUUUAUUGGGUUUAAAGGGAGCGUAGGUGGAUUGUUAAGUCAGUUGUGAAAGUUUGCGGCUCAACCGUAAAAUUGCAGUUGAAACUGGCAGUCUUGAGUACAGUAGAGGUGGGCGGAAUUCGUGGUGUAGCGGUGAAAUGCUUAGAUAUCACGAAGAACUCCGAUUGCGAAGGCAGUUCACUGGACUGCAACUGACACUGAGGCUCGAAAGUGUGGGUAUCAAACAGGAUUAGAUACCCUGGCAGUC